UAUUAUUUAAAAUGUAAAUAUAAAUACUUAAGUAGUAAUAGUUAAGUUCUUGAAACUUAAAAAAUUUGGCGGUAUUUUAGUCUAUCCAGAGGAACCUGUUUUGUAAUCGAUAAUCCACGAUGGACCUUACUUAAGUUUGUAAUCAGUUUAUAUACCGUCGUUAUCAGAAUAUUUUAUAAGAAUAUUAAUAUUCAAUAAUUUUUAUUAAAAUUUAUAUCAGAUCAAGGUGUAGCUUAUAUUUAAGUAAUAAUGGGUUACAAUAAAUUUAUUUAAACGGAUAAAAUUAUGAAAAAAUUUUUGAAGGUGGAUUUGGUAGUAAAAUUAUAAAGAUUAAUAAUUUGAUUUUAGCUCUAAAAUAUGUACACAUCGCCCGUCGCUCUUAUUAUUAAGGUAAGAUAAGUCGUAACAUAGUAGAUGUACUGGAAAGUGUAUCUAGAAUGA
Molecule: ribosomal RNA, 441 nt
Filed under: Drosophila virilis
Lineage: Eukaryota; Metazoa; Arthropoda; Insecta; Diptera; Drosophilidae
Description: partial 12S ribosomal RNA
Source: RNAcentral